GAUCAUUGUUUUCCGUUAGGACACCCUGACCGACAGGCCACGAUCAAGCGUAAUGGAGAGAUGCAAGCAUUGGCACCUGCCCUCUCAAGCCGGAUUUUUCAAGCCCAGCAUGGUGCACCUCUAUUGUUGGCACAUCAGUGCCAACAGUAGAGGCAUUAGGAGAUGAGGACAGGCCAGUGCUAUAAUUCUUCCCAGUCCAUUAGCUGUAAUUAGGGUUCUGCGUUCUCAGAUAAACCUGAUAAACUCCAAAAAACACUAGCCGUUAAAAUUUUGCUGAUUCAGAUUCAUUUGAAAAACUCAAUUUUUCGGUCUGCCAGCUGUUAUAAGCCCCAUCAGUCUUUAUAUUUCCCGGAAUCUUCGAACAAUUUUUGCAAUUCUCCUCUUAUUGCAGUGUCAACUUCCGUUGCCAUGUAGCCCCUUAUAAUAAAAAUGAGGUAGGCCCUCUACGACAGUAGAUGAAUACGGCUCUCAUAUGAAAAUACUGCUUUACUAAAUUCACAAACUGCUGUUUUCUACCUUUCAUUUGCCUGAUCGAAAAUGCCGAAAGACUCCGAACUUUGCGUACAUAAAUGGAAGCUCCAAAUUGAUGGUUCAAAAAAACAAACAAAAAAAAAACACCCUCUAAUUUUGCUAAAAAAAUUAAAUUCAAGAACGCAGGAUCCUAGCUAUAAUUUGUGCAAGCUUUCAAGAUCGAGGAAAUCGGUGACCGUAUUGUCAUAUUCAUUGUGGGCACACCACAAUGAAGGCGGAUCAAGUGCUAUUUUGAAUAGCAUGUAGUUCUGCACCAGAGAUUCCAUCCCCAGUUCACAAGCUUAGCCCAUCGCAGCAGUUUUAGAAAAUUGAAGUAUUUUCGGAACCCAACCGACACUUUUCUGAAGACUGUAACACAAUGCCUUAUCCAUCUUUCUUUUCAUGUGCUGAUGAGCGGACAUGCUGUGGAGACUGCACCGAGGCGGGGCAGCCCGCCCGUGUUUCCAAUAAAUGGGGUUUUCAUCCAGGAGGUAGGCUGGUAAUGCAGCGAUAACAUAAGUGGGGUGGUUGCAUAUAACACUGGAAAUAUUAACAGAAGUUUUUUAUGGCAAUUUAAAAACAGUGCUGCAUUUUCCAGUCUACACCACGGUUUUCCCCCCGUCUGCAA
This is a long non-coding RNA of Ixodes scapularis (black-legged tick), 1138 nucleotides long. RefSeq lists it as uncharacterized. Lineage: Eukaryota; Metazoa; Arthropoda; Arachnida; Ixodida; Ixodidae. The transcript is spliced from 2 exons. The record is from RefSeq and is a predicted model, not a curated record.